UCGAGGCUGCAAUGAGCUAUGAUCAUGCCACUGCACUCCACCCUGGGUGACAGAGCAAGACCCUGUCAAAGAGAACAAAAUUAGAGUCAUUUUGACAAUUCAACUAGAUAGGGUGUGAUGGGAGCAUUUCAUCUAUAAAUCUGGGACUGAGAUUAAAUUCUAAGGAUCAGCUGGAGACAAGGAUGCUGGCCAGCUGAGCGUGUGGGUUGAUGGGCUUUCAGAUGCUUCACGUCUGCCUAUCACAGAGCUGAACCAAGUGCCAUUUUUCUCUCUUUGGUGGAAUACUUAGCUGAGAGCAUCGGAAAAUUGGUGGAUGAUUCUUUCAGGCUGAAGAAACAAGUAUACUGCCUUCAUAGCACUUUGAAAGAAGUUAUCCAGUGGACAUACUGUCAUAAAUGAUAAUAUGAUUUCUGUUUUCUGAUUUGCUCCUGUAAAAGUCUAUUUUUAUUAUAAAAUGAAUACACAUUUAUUUACAAAAUACAGGAAAACACUGAAGAGUAGAAGGAAAAACAUCAUUCCUGUUCUUAUUUUCCAAACAAAAUCCAUUCCUUUUCUAGUUUUGAAAUAGAAAAUUAUUUGUCAUUUGAUGUAACUUUCAGUUUGGACUGACUUGAUAUGCAAAUAACCUCCUCUUAUCUCAGAAAAGGUGGCUUUUUUUUUCCUGGCACAGACCUGAAUGAACGACCUUGUUUAAAUUACAUUCAGUUUGACAAAUGUCAUUGAACGCCUGCCAUGUGCGUGCUACUGAGUUAGAGCCUGUGGUGGUUACAAAGAUUAAUAAGACACAGCACUUCACGCGAGCAGGUUAUAAACUAGCAAGAGAGGCGGACCUGUGUAGAGCAAGAUAGGGGGAUAACCCCAAGGUCAGCAAAGACAGAAGCUUAUUCCAUGGGCUGUUGAUGUGGAGGGUGGAAGUGAGAAGCAUGAAAAUAAUGUUUUGAGAAUGUGGCAUUUGAGCUGGAACAGAAAGGGCUCCUUGGCUUUGGACUGUAGAAUCUGCAGGGAAGGAAAUUGAAGAGGUGAAAUACAUGGAACUUGACAAGGGUGGCUAUUGCGGCUUGAGUAUGUAAUAAAUGGAGAAUUGAUUCAUCAGAAGUGCAAGUAGCUGCUCUCCUCAAUAGAAGAGGGCUUGGAGAAGAAGAGGGGCUUUAGAAAGUAAGGAGAGUCACUGUCACACAAAUGACAGCCAGUGAUGGAAGAAGAAGUGCCAGUAAAGCAACAUGGCAGGGAGGAAUCACAUCUCCUUUUUCUUCAGUCAAGAACUGAACACCUAAUACUUCAAAAGGAAAACUGGUUUUAGAAACUGGAGUGGAGCAUGCAGUUGGCAAUCCGAGCAGGCAGAAGGAAGCAGAAGGGAAUGAAGGAACAGGAUCAGCCUCUGCACCACUGGCUGUAGCUCCAGCAUGGGCCGGUGACCAUGCCCUUCAACAUCCGGGGGCUUUCGGACCUGACCCGCAAGUCUAGUUUUAGGUGUGAUAGUAGAAGAGUCUUUUGCAUUUCAGAUUCCUUUUCUCUCUACAGCUGUGGCCUGACAGCCAUAUUUACUCUUACCUGUAUUCCGAGGUCUUUCAUUCUUGCAAGUGCCAGCUCUCUCAGGUUACCAUGCUCUACUCCUGAGCUGACUAAAGGCAUUGGAAUAUCCCUGUACAGGAGAAAAACAUAAGCUAUUGCAAAUCAUUCUCCACAGCAGUAAGGCAAGGAUGUUCAGAGAAAAAAAAAACAAAAACAA
Long non-coding RNA from Sapajus apella (tufted capuchin), 1729 nucleotides. RefSeq lists it as uncharacterized. NCBI's taxonomy places the organism in Eukaryota, Metazoa, Chordata, Mammalia, Primates, Cebidae. The record is from RefSeq and is a predicted model, not a curated record. The transcript is spliced from 2 exons.